Cinara cedri is the source of this 166-nucleotide non-coding RNA. The record is from the annotation of a GenBank genome assembly. NCBI's taxonomy places the organism in Eukaryota, Metazoa, Arthropoda, Insecta, Hemiptera, Aphididae.
AAUGAAGAUAUGGAAAAAAAAAAUUAUACAAAUUGGUCGUUUUAUAUAGAAUAUAGAAAUGAUUUUUUUUAAUAGGAGAGAUUAUUUAAAAUUAUUAAAAAAAAUUAUUUCUAUAUUCCAUAUAAAACGACCAAUUUGUAUUAUUUGUUUUUUCCAUAUCUUCAUU